AGUUUCUUUAAGAAGAUUUAAUUUUCGUCAAGGACAUGUUCCAACCAUGAUUCCAUCACAAAAAUCAUAUCCAGGAAAAUAAAGUACAAAUAAAAAUAAAAACGAAAAAUAAAGGAAAUCAUAACAUGAUAAUGUUUACAUGAGACCAUCAAACAUAUUGGCUACUGCCCAACAGUCACACUUGGUUCUCUCUCCAACCCCCCUUUUUGUCCAAACAAUUAAACUCUUUAUAGUUGAGGCUCCUCCCCUCAAAUUCAAAUGUACCAAUGGCAAGACUCUCCAAUACCAUCUACAUAGUUUAUUUAGCAAAUCAUGUUUAACAUCAACAAUUAAACAUGAAUAUUAGCUUCUUUAUCAAGCUCCAUUAUACUCAUAAAACCCAAGGAAUUUUAGGAAUCCUAAGACAUACAUUUAAAUGUAAUCGUUUAAACAUUUUCCAUACUUGAACUCCUCCUCCUCUAAGAAGGUAUAAAUUCCUGUUCGCGAGCUCCUCCUAUUAGGAAGUUCCAGGAAGAAGGUAAGAAAAGAUUUCACCAUUAAUCAACAAAUCCUUAUUGCCAUAAUUUAAAUUCAUCUUUCUCUUAUUUACAGGCACAACCGGCUAAGACCAACAAACAUGAGUUGCAAUGGAAUGUGCACCUUCCAUUCUACACAUGCGGAAAUAAGUUAUCAUCAUAGCACCACUUGAAUACGGAAUCGACCGCAGGAGGCGGAGUCAUGCAUUCCUCCAGAUGAGGAUCCAGUGAAAACACGGGUGGAACGAAAACACGAUGCGCUUCAGAAUCCAAAGGCACUCAGAACCGAGACGGCAUGGACAUCUUAAAAAAAAUUGGUUCGGCUGCGAUGGAUGCGGCCGUUGCUGUUGUGGCGGUUCCUGUAUAUAUCGUGAAAGGAACAGUGACAGGCAUAGUGGACGGAGC
Triplophysa dalaica is the source of this 920-nucleotide long non-coding RNA. RefSeq lists it as uncharacterized. The transcript has 3 exons. Lineage: Eukaryota; Metazoa; Chordata; Actinopteri; Cypriniformes; Nemacheilidae. The record is from RefSeq and is a predicted model, not a curated record.